RNAcentral lists this ribosomal RNA (369 nucleotides) under uncultured bacterium. Its description in RNAcentral is "bacterial SSU rRNA". It matches the Rfam family "Bacterial small subunit ribosomal RNA", at positions 527 to 896 of the family's 1533-position model. The record is from RNAcentral.
GUAGGGUGCGAGCGUUAAUCGGAAUUACUGGGCGUAAAGCGUGCGCAGGCGGUUCGUUAUGUCUGUUGUGAAAGCCCCGGGCUCAACCCGGGAAUGGCAAUGGAAACUGGCGAGCUAGAGUGUGGCAGAGGGGGGUGGAAUUCCGCGUGUAGCAGUGAAAUGCGUAGAGAUGCGGAGGAACACCGAUGGCGAAGGCAGCCCCCUGGGCUAACACUGACGCUCAGGCACGAAAGCGUGGGGAGCAAACAAGAUUAGAUACCCUGGUAGUCCACGCCCUAAACGAUGAUCACUAGGUGUUGGCGGAGCGAUCUGCUGGUACCGUAGCUAACGCGUGAAGUGAUCCGCCUGGGGAGUACGGUCGCAAGAUUA